AGGCGGAAAAGGAUAGCAAAAGGAAGAGAGAAUCGGUCAUUAAAGUUUGUCAAAAAUAUAACGUAACAAAUGUCAUGGAACCGCCAGCUGACAGCAAAGACCGAAAAAGGGUACGGCAAAGGCGCAACGUGCUUGAUCAUUUGCUUGUGAACAAAGAACACAAAGUUCUUUUUUGCUUUAUACCUAAAAUUAGCUGUACCAACAUGCAAAGUAUAUUCGUAGUUAUGGAUGGAUUGUAUCCAAGUGUAGAAGAAGUGAACGCACCUAAAGUACAUAAACAAGUCGUACGUUUGUCUAAUAAAACGUUCACUGAAAAGCAACGAGCGUACAUGCUGAAGAAUUUCUACAAGUUCAUGAUUGUACGAGAUCCUUUGGAGCGGCUCGUGUCUGGGUACCGAGAUAAAUUCCAACAUAAGAAGAGUAUCAAAUUUUGGGCACCUUUAGGAAAACGCAUAAUAAAGAAAUAUCGUUAUAAUAAUACUAAUUCAACGACAGUUAUAACUGGACUUGAUGUGAGUUUCACGGAGUAUGUGCGAUAUUUGAUCGACAAUCCGCCUUGGUCGGUCAACGAGCAUUGGGUACCAUACGAAGACCUAUGCAGGCCUUGUGAGGUGAAAUAUGACUUCAUCGGAUCUAUCGAGAAUCUCAAUCGAGAUGUGACCCACGCCAUGAGACAGAUACAUGCAAAUGAAACCAAGUAUCAUGUGAUGCACACCAGCGGUGCGCUAACCAAAACAAAACGAAAAACAGCAAAUUUUCUUAAAGAACUUUCCCGAAAGUACUUUGAUCAACUAUUGGCUGCUUUUAAAACAGACCACGAGUUAUUUGGGUAUCCUCUGCCCGAAUACGAUACAUUGGAUAAGCGUUACCCCGCCUGAUAAGAAUGGUAUACAUUAUUUGCCUAUAUACUGCAGAUUCAGGUUGAGUAUUUAAUGACGUCACGAUCAUGUGAGCGUUGAAAUAGAAAAACGCGGGUGUUGUCAAGUGGCAAAUUACUUGUUGCUAUGAGGGAGCGGUGACAUUUUGAAUUGAAUAUAUAUGUUUAGAAUUUACACUGUGAUGCAAUAAUAUGGAACUAAAUAUAUAUAUGAAUAUAACCCCUAUAUUUAUAGGGAACAAAGGCUUGCUAUCUUUAACGUAUGAUGAUUUUUUCUCGCGUGUUUUUGGGCAAAGAACUGCACCAAGCGAGGGUCGAUGCGAUUGAAUAUCGUAGAACCAGUUCGGCCUGAAAUUGACUUGUCAUCGAAGCAUUUUAAAUUUCAAAUAAU
This is a non-coding RNA of Paramuricea clavata, 1268 nucleotides long. The record is from the annotation of a GenBank genome assembly. NCBI's taxonomy places the organism in Eukaryota, Metazoa, Cnidaria, Anthozoa, Malacalcyonacea, Plexauridae.